This 445-nucleotide ribosomal RNA is filed under the name uncultured bacterium. Its description in RNAcentral is "partial 16S ribosomal RNA". It matches the Rfam family "Bacterial small subunit ribosomal RNA", at positions 354 to 796 of the family's 1533-position model. The record is from RNAcentral.
GUGAGGAAUAUUGCGCAAUGGAGGCAACUCUGACGCAGCCAUGCCGCGUGCAGGAAGAAGGCGCUACGCGUUGUAAACUGCUUUUAACCGGGAAGAAACCCCAGGACGUGUCCUGGGUUGACGGUACCGGAGGAAUAAGCACCGGCUAACUUCGUGCCAGCAGCUGCGGUAAUACGAAGGGUGCAAGCGUUAUCCGGAUUCAUUGGGUCUAAAGGGUGCGUAGGCGGAGCGUUAAGUCAGUGGUGAAAUCCUGCAGCUUAACUGUAGACUUGCCAUUGAUACUGGCGCUCUUGAGUGCGCUUGAAGUGGGCGGAAUGUGCCGUGUAGCGGUGAAAUGCUUAGAUAUGGCACAGAACACCAAUUGCGAAGGCAGCUCACUAAGGCGAUACUGACGCUGAGGCACGAAAGCGUGGGGAUCGAACAGGAUUAGAAACCCUGGUAGUCC